This 597-nucleotide ribosomal RNA is filed under the name uncultured bacterium. RNAcentral describes it as "bacterial SSU rRNA". It matches the Rfam family "Bacterial small subunit ribosomal RNA", at positions 872 to 1476 of the family's 1533-position model. The record is from RNAcentral.
CCUGGGGAGUACGACCGCAAGGUUAAAACUCAAAGGAAUUGACGGGGGAGCGCACAACCGGUGGAGCAUGUGGUUUAAUUCGAUACAAAGCGAAAAACCUUACCUGGGUUUGACAUGUACCUGCACGUUCUGGGAAACCAGAAUUUCUUCGAGAGUGGUACACAGGUGAUGCAUGGCUGUCGUCAGCUCGUGUCGUGAGACGUCCACUUAAGUGUGGUAACGAGCGCAACCCUUGCUGUCAGUUACAAGUGUCUGACAGGACUGCCCCCGCAUUGCGGGGGAGGAAGGAGAGGACGACGUCAAGUCAGCAUGUCCCUUACAUCCAGGGCUACACACAUCCUACAAUGGAGCCGACAACGGGUCGCGACGGAGUAAUCCUGAGCCAAUCCUUAUAAACGGCUCCUCAGUUCAGAUUGAGGGCUGCAAUUCGCCCUCAUGAAGCCGGAAUCGGUAGUAAUCGCAAAUCAGCAGGUUGCGGUGAAUACGUUCUCGCUCCUUGUACACACUGCCCGUCAAGCCAGCAAAGUCAGCAACGCCCGAAGCGGGUGACCGUAACCAGUUUACUGGAGCGGCUCUUAUACGGCGAGGUUGGCGAUG